GGCUGGGAAAUAGGCAAAUCCGUUUCCCAUAAGGCUGAGCUGUGAUGGCGAGCGAAAUAUAGUAGCGAAGUUCCUGAUUCCACACUGCCAAGAAAAGCCUCUAGCGAGGUGAGAGGUGCCCGUACCGCAAACCGACACAGGUAGGCGAGGAGAGAAUCCUAAGGUGAUCGAGAGAACUCUCGUUAAGGAACUCGGCAAAGUGACCCCGUAACUUCGGGAGAAGGGGUGCUCUGUUAGGGUGCAAGCCCGAGAGAGCCGCAGUGAAUAGGCCCAGGCGACUGUUUAGCAAAAACACAGGUCUCUGCGAAGCCGUAAGGCGAAGUAUAGGGGCUGACGCCUGCCCGGUGCUGGAAGGUUAAGAGGAGCGCUUAGCGUAAGCGAAGGUGCGAAUUGAAGCCCCAGUAAACGGCGGCCGUAACAAUAACGGUCCUAAGGUAGCGAAAUUCCUUGUCGGGUAAGUUCCGACCCGCACGAAAGGCGCAACGAUCUGGGCACUGUCUCAACGAGAGACUCGGUGAAAUUAUAGUACCUGUGAAGAUGCAGGUUACCCGCGACAGGACGGAAAGACCCCGUGGAGCUUUACUGCAGCCUGAUAUUGAAUGUUGGUACAGCUUGUACAGGAUAGGUAGGAGCCUUGGAGACCGGAGCGCCAGCUUCGGUGGAGGCAUCGGUGGGAUACUACCCUGGCUGUAUUGACCUUCUAACCCGCCGCCCUUAUCGGGCGGGGAGACAGUGUCAGGUGGGCAGUUUGACUGGGGCGGUCGCCUCCUAAAAGGUAACGGAGGCGCCCAAAGGUUCCCUCAGAAUGGUUGGAAAUCAUUCGCAGAGUGUAAAGGCACAAGGGAGCUUGACUGCGAGACCUACAAGUCGAGCAGGGACGAAAGUCGGGCUUAGUGAUCCGGUGGUUCCGCAUGGAAGGGCCAUCGCUCAACGGAUAAAAGCUACCCCGGGGAUAACAGGCUUAUCUCCCCCAAGAGUCCACAUCGACGGGGAGGUUUGGCACCUCGAUGUCGGCUCAUCGCAUCCUGGGGCUGUAGUCGGUCCCAAGGGUUGGGCUGUUCGCCCAUUAAAGCGGUACGCGAGCUGGGUUCAGAACGUCGUGAGACAGUUCGGUCCCUAUCCGUCGCGGGCGCAGGAAAUUUGAGAGGAGCUGUCCUUAGUACGAGAGGACCGGGAUGGACGCACCGCUGGUGUACCAGUUGUUCUGCCAAGGGCAUCGCUGGGUAGCUAUGUGCGGACGGGAUAAGUGCUGAAAGCAUCUAAGCAUGAAGCCCCCCUCAAGAUGAGAUUUCCCAUUCCGCAAGGAAGUAAGAUCCCUGAAAGAUGAUCAGGUUGAUAGGUCUGAGGUGGUAGUGUGGCGACACAUGGAGCUGACAGAUACUAAUCGAUCGAGGACUUAACC
Molecule: ribosomal RNA, 1402 nt
Filed under: metagenome
Description: bacterial LSU rRNA
Rfam family: Bacterial large subunit ribosomal RNA
Source: RNAcentral